UACAGAGGUCCCAAGCGUUGUUCGGAUUCACUGGGCGUAAAGGGUGCGUAGGUGGCGAGGUAAGUCGGAUGUGAAAGCUCGGAGCUCAACUCCGAAAUGGCAUUGGAAACUACCUUGCUCGAGGGUUGGAGGGGGGACUGGAAUGCUUGGUGUAGCAGUGAAAUGCGUAGAUACCAAGCGGAACACCAGUGGCGAAGGCGAGUCCCUGGACAACUCCUGACACUGAGGCACGAAAGCUAGGGGAGCAAACAGG
Molecule: ribosomal RNA, 253 nt
Filed under: uncultured bacterium
Lineage: Bacteria
Description: partial 16S ribosomal RNA
Rfam family: Bacterial small subunit ribosomal RNA
Source: RNAcentral